Molecule: long non-coding RNA, 1383 nt
Organism: Dromaius novaehollandiae (emu)
Lineage: Eukaryota; Metazoa; Chordata; Aves; Casuariiformes; Dromaiidae
Exons: 2
Source: RefSeq, a predicted model, not a curated record
GGCUGUGUGCGGUGGGAGGGAGCAGGAGUGCGGGGUGAGGGGGGCUGGGGCCGGCCCUCCCUGGGGGCAGAAGGGCUUGGGGGGGCUGCAAGAGGGUCGGGGGGGGGGCUGGCAGCGGGGGCCAUGCUGCGGGCGAGUGGCCGCCUCUGCCAAGCCGGGCCCAGUCGUGGCGGUCUGGUCCACCCCACAGCGGCCUGGUCCACCCCACGGUGGACCCUUCUUGCCCUAUGUGAAGCCCAGGGCCGCCUCCCAGGGAGGGCGGCUGCUCGGGCCCCAUCCCGUUCCCGCACGCUUUGUCAUCGGCCCAGGCCAGAGCAGCAGCCCCGGGGCUCGAGGGACCGCGUCUCCCUGUCCCCCUCCGCGUGUGUCGCAGCUACUCACUCUCGUUUCCUAGGCCGCGUUUCUUGUCCUCCGUGGAGAGCCCUGGCGCUGUGAAGGGAGGAGGAGGAACGAUGCCCCAAAUUUGGGGUGAUGGCAGCAGGAGAAGCGAAGGACUGUCUCCCAACAGUAAGAGGCAUGCAGCCUGUCCUGUGGAGGAGAGAGAGUUUCAGGCGCUAGGGCACCAUUUUGUUGGGCAUCUGUCGACAUCGAAGUUUUCCAGGAAUCUCUGGGCUUCCUCGGCAAGUGUGGGAGGAGCAAAGCAUCUGCAGGGGAUCAGAAGAAACUUCAUCACAGGACAAUAGAAUUUGCAUGUAUUUAUUUUUCAGAGCUGGUGUUUAAUGAACUCUGCCUAUGAGGGGAAAUGUGUUACACUAAGUGAAAAUACAAGAACCCUAGAAAGUCCCCUGCGCACCGCUGUUAACCAAGAAGUUAACUUGGACGAUGCCUUUUUCAAUACCCACUGUUAAACAGGCCACUGUUAAAAAUAAUUUGUAUCAGCUUGUCUUUUGUUUAAGCAGAUAAAAAAGAAAACCCUCUUCCAACCUGAUACUAAAAAAAGGCUUAAUUUCUGUUGGGGUACCUUGUUUAUAACUGUGCAAUCUAUUGUCAAGCAAAAUAGAGACUUUACAUUCUGUCAUGGUAUAUUGUAAAAUUAUUCAUUUAGCUUUAAGUUACUUAAGGGGGAGGGCUUCCAUCGCUUUCUGUGAGAGUGGACCCUGUUAUACAACUGUUCAUCUGCAACCCUCUCAGCAUUCAGCAGGAGAUAACACGCUUAGUCUGAGUGAGCCUCCAACUCCAGGAAACAGAAAAAAAAAUUGCAUGGAGAAGUUAAAGUAGAAUGAAACCCCUGCUGAGGGUGUCCAUGUCACAAACACUGUGGCGAUUUCUGUAGCAUGUCUUCCAAUUAAUUUAUUUCUGAGAUGUGUAUUAUUAAUGUGUAAGAACACUGCUGCAGGAAUGACACGUAUCUGAGUACCAAAACAGUGUUGAAGGCAACAGUAA